CUGGAUGUGUUUCAACACAACAAACUGCUCACAUCGAUAACAGUGUGGACCACGUUUGGAGAACUAGCCAUCCUGUACAACUGCACACGGACCGCAUCAGUGCGAGCGGUGAACAGAGUGAGGACAUGGGCUUUGGACCGGGAGGUGUUUCAGAACAUCAUGAGGAGGACGGCUGAGACGCGACAUGAACAGUACCGCAACUUCCUCCGAAGUGUCUCACUCUUGGCUAAUCUACCAGAGGACAAGCUGAGCAAAAUAGUGGACUGCCUGGAGGUGGAAUACUAUGACAAGGGAGACUACGUUAUCCGGGAGGGAGAGGAGGGCAGCACCUUCUACAUCAUCGCACAG
Non-coding RNA from Epinephelus lanceolatus (giant grouper), 348 nucleotides. NCBI's taxonomy places the organism in Eukaryota, Metazoa, Chordata, Actinopteri, Perciformes, Serranidae. The record is from RefSeq and is a predicted model, not a curated record.